Molecule: long non-coding RNA, 2667 nt
Filed under: Salvia miltiorrhiza (redroot sage)
Lineage: Eukaryota; Viridiplantae; Streptophyta; Magnoliopsida; Lamiales; Lamiaceae
Description: long non-coding RNA (SMIL_LNC000609)
Source: RNAcentral
AAUAUUAAAUUACUUACCAAAUCGCAUGGCCAUGCAACCAUUUCACCAAGUGCGUCUCCAAGUGUUUGACAAUAACCAUAAGGUCGAAUUAAUCGCUCUUCAGAUUCAACUACUACUUUAACUUGCACUUGACACCGAUUCUCUCCCAAUACUUGUCUCCCAACUUUUGCAUUGGGCUAGUGCUAUGUACACAUCCUUUAGCCACAAUUUUUCCUUGUUGAGAUACACUUUUAAGAUCAACAUGAACUCCAAUCUACAAAUAUUUUGCAAAAUGUUAAUAUGAUAUAUGGAAAUAUAAAAACUAAGGACAUAUAACAAUUUCCUUUCCCUGUAGAAAAUAAGCAAAACGAGAAAUCCUUGGGGCAAGUCUAAGCGCAGAAAUUUAGACAUAGAGUUUUGCUUUUAAUUGUGUGUUCUGUCUACAUUUACAAUGCAUAGUUUCUAAUGAGUAAUGAAUAAUAAAAAUUGACGAAGCCUUUAAGAGCAAAAAGACCACCAAAGUCUUCCUUAACACAAAAAAGUUGAAUCAGUUAUCAAAUGCUCUUAAUGUUAAGCCCGAGAUUAUAUGACAUGUCAGGGAAAAACUGAGUUAUUUCUUUGUCUUUGCUAUAUAAGUAAAAAAAUACUAAGCAGCUAUAUAAAAAAAAAAAAUUACUAAGCAGGCUCUCGAAAUUGGAUGUAUGCAAUCCACUAUAGUGGAUUCAUCCAACUUACCAAGAAAGCGAAAAAUACUAAGAAUAAAUAGACAUAGAGGCUCAAGUAAUUCAGGCCUUUCUUAAGAAGAUCAAUAACCAAUAGCUGGAAACAAAAAUGCAGGUCUCUACCCAUGAUAAAAGCUCCAGUUAACAGGGAACAAUAAAAGCUCAAAAUUGUUAUUCCCACUCCCCACACUAAACUUGACAAGAUUAAUUGUACUAAUAUUUCAAAAAGAAUUAUUACUAAUUUAUUUAAACACACAUCACAUAUUAAAGUAAAGAACACAUCACAUAUUAAAAUAGAGGUACAUACUAAAGUAGAGGUAAAUGAAAAAGGAUAAGUACCUGAAGAUGUUGGUUUGGUGAAAUCAUUCUUGGUAGAUUAAUUUGAGCAACUUAAUUAGGUAGAAUAUGUAGAAUCAAAACCAGAGGUAAGGUAAGAGAAAUUUAACCGGAGCAGUCAAAAACAUGAAUUCAACCAUCGUCACCAUUUUGAUCAACCACUCAAAAUUGCUAUUCCCACUCCCCACACUAAACUGGACAAGAUUAAUUGUACGAAUAGUCUAAUAUUUCGAAAAGAAAUAUUACUAAUUCAUUUAAACACACAUCGCAUAGUAAAGUAACAUAUCACAUAUUACAAUAGAGGUAUAUACUAAAGUAUAGGUAAAUGAAAAAGGAUAAGUACCCGAAGAUGUUGGUUUGGUGAUGAAAUCAUUCUUGGCAGAUUAGAGCUUUGAGAACUUCUUGUACAGCCCCAUUGGAUACUCGUCUANUGCAUAAUCUUACUAUGUGGCUGGUGCACUUGCUCAUCUGACAAGCUAAAAGUAGUCUGUUUAAGCUUUCGAUUUUUAGUAGUCAUACUUGCAAGUGCAAGUAAUCUGUUUAAGCAAAGUUUCUCAUUCUGACUUCCAUGCUUGAAUGAUUUUCCUUGCAAUUCUCGGGCUUUAACAUUGAUUAAACUUUAUUAAGCCCCAUUAGUAGGGCUUGACUCGAUAUGUUUAAACAAUAAAAUUGAAAGGGCUUGACUCAAUGCCAUAAAGAAGAGCACAACCAAAGGGAUAAUAUGUUUAAACAAUAAACUUGGAAGGGCUUGACUCUAUGCCAGAAAGAAGAGCACAACCAAAUGGAUAAUAUAUUGAUAGAAUACACACUUAGCACAUACUACAAAACAAACCUGAAUUUUAUAUAUUGAUAGAAUACACACUUAGCACAAAGUUCUAUGAAAAACAUCAUAUCAACAAUGAAACUCCAUACACAACCUUAUUCUUCAGAUCAAGAAUUCACUGAAUUUAAAUGUGUAGCUAAGCCUGCCCUAUUCACUUUUCUCACAAGAAUUAGGAGAUUAGCAAACAUCCCAAGCAAUCAAAUAUAACGUAUAUUCUGGAAUGAAAAACACAUCUAUCCAAACUAAGAAGACAAGCUAGCUAUAAAAAUGUCGACGACAUUCGUUCGACGUUCAUAACUCCCAAAAAAACCACGGUACUGAAAAUAACAAAUUAGAAAUACCAGAUGUUCAAUCCAAAUUGUAGGAAUAAGAAUAAUAAAAGUAUGUCAAAGACUAACCUCACCAGAGCCUACGAAUUUACGCUGGAAUUGAUGGCUGAAAGGAAGAAUAAGGACAAUUCAAAAUCAUGGGGGAAAUAGAAGAGUAAAAAUUCAUCAAAGUCUUACCUCACCGGUACCUUUAAAUACACGAUAAAAUUGAUGGCUGCAAAGAAGAAGAUAGCAAUUCAAAAACUAAUUGAUUGAACUCAUACAUCAGAAUUUUUAUAGAGCACACAAAUUUAGUCGUGUAAGUUCCUCACCUUUCGGGUGGCUUCAGAUUGGCAACGACUUUCAACGUGAACCGCUGAAAUUCUGAUUGAGGCAUAAUGAGUUUAAGAAUGAGGGCUUUUUUGAUUUCUGAUUUUUGAUAACCGUCUAGACAUGAUAGAGAUAUGUUGCCGCCAAGCUUUUACCGGGAGAAGGAAAU